Molecule: long non-coding RNA, 114 nt
Filed under: Chinchilla lanigera (long-tailed chinchilla)
Lineage: Eukaryota; Metazoa; Chordata; Mammalia; Rodentia; Chinchillidae
Description: lncRNA (ENSCLAG00000023252.1)
Source: RNAcentral
UCCAAACUUGUAGAGAUUUCAGCAAAGAGGCGCUAGGCAGGGAAACGUCCCACAGCUGGCUUGGCUCAGUGAGGCCGCCCAUGCAGGAGCAUUCCAAGAUUAGGCAAGAAAGCA